Molecule: long non-coding RNA, 482 nt
Organism: Cavia porcellus (domestic guinea pig)
Lineage: Eukaryota; Metazoa; Chordata; Mammalia; Rodentia; Caviidae
Exons: 2
Source: RefSeq, a predicted model, not a curated record
CAGUGGUUCAGAUAACACGGGAAGCUGCCGUGGCUUCCCGGCACACUGAGAUCCAUCGCUGAGGUUCUUCCAGCAGUGAUGCCGUCCGGGGUCGGAGCCGGAGCCCACAGGCAGCCUGCCCACCAUGCCGGUGUUGAGGGACCUUUGCUGCCUGGGAAGGAGCGGGUGGGCGCUCUCUGUCUGUCAAAGACCCCACAGAUGUGAGCUGCCACCCCGAGCUCUACCACCCGGACUGCAAUGCCAGGCGAGGGUGAAGAUGAGCCUCCAAACAAGGCGCCAGAGUGACCUCACCGAGGUCUGUAACUCUCCGUCCAGCUCCUCUCGUGCCCCACUUUCUCGACUUUCUACUCUGAGUCACCGAUGCCGUCACUAAUGUCGCAGGGCUCUCGAGACAAAGCAGAUUAGAUCAUGUCUGGAUGCCUCAUCUGGCCUGAGAAGCUAAACUUCUUAUUGAUAAUAAAGGAAGAAAGGAGGGGAAAAAA